RNAcentral lists this ribosomal RNA (253 nucleotides) under uncultured bacterium. RNAcentral's name for it is "partial 16S ribosomal RNA". It matches the Rfam family "Bacterial small subunit ribosomal RNA", at positions 524 to 776 of the family's 1533-position model. The record is from RNAcentral.
UACGAAGGGGGCGAGCGUUGUUCGGAAUCACUGGGCGUAAAGCGCGUGUAGGCGGCCCACUAAGUCUGAUGUGAAAGCCCGGGGCUCACCCCCGGAAGUGCAUUGGAAACUGGUGGACUCGAGUCCCGGAGAGGAGAGUGGAAUUCCUGGUGUAGCGGUGAAAUGCGUAGAUAUCAGGAGGAACACCGGUGGCGAAGGCGGCUCUCUGGACGGUGACUGACGCUGAGACGCGAAAGCGUGGGGAGCAAACAGG